Molecule: ribosomal RNA, 458 nt
Filed under: uncultured Sphingobacteriales bacterium
Lineage: Bacteria; Pseudomonadati; Bacteroidota; Sphingobacteriia; Sphingobacteriales
Description: bacterial SSU rRNA
Rfam family: Bacterial small subunit ribosomal RNA
Source: RNAcentral
CCCGCACAAGCGGAGGAACAUGUGGUUUAAUUCGAUGAUACGCGAGGACCUUACCUGGGCUUAAAUGGGGAGUGACAGCUGUCGAAAGAUGGUUUUCUUCGGACACUCUUCAAGGUGCUGCAUGGUUGUCGUCAGCUCGUGCCGUGAGGUGUCGGGUUAAGUCCCAUAACGAGCGCAACCCUUACCGUUAGUUACCAUCAGGUUAAGCUGGGGACUCUAGCGGGACUGCCACCGUAAGGUGAGAGGAAGUGGGGAUGACGUCAAAUCAGCACGGCCCUUAUGUCCAGGGCUACACACGUGUUACAAUGGCCAGUACAAAGGGCAGCUACCGGGUGACCGGAUGCUAAUCUCUAAAGCUGGUCUCAGUUCGGAUCGAAGUCUGCAACCCGACUUCGUGAAGCUGGAUUCGCUAGUAAUCGCGCAUCAGCCAUGGCGCGGUGAAUACGUUCCCGGGCCUU